ANGCGNGGCUUANCAUGCAAGUCGCACGAGAACGCUUCAGCUUGCUGAAGUUAGUAAAGUGGCGCACGGGUGAGUAACGCGUGGGUAAUCUACCCUUGAAUUGGGGAUAACCCGCCGAAAGGCGGGCUAAUACCGAAUGACAUCUUGAGAACUUAUGUUUUCAGGAUCAAAGGUGGCCUCUACAUGUAAGCUAUUGUUUGGGGAUGAGCCCGCGUACCAUUAGCUUGUUGGUAGGGUAAUGGCCUACCAAGGCUACGAUGGUUAGCUGGUCUGAGAGGAUGAUCAGCCACACUGGAACUGACACACGGUCCAGACUCCUACGGGAGGCAGCAGUGAGGAAUUUUGCGCAAUGGGGGAAACCCUGACGCAGCAACGCCGCGUGAGUGAUGAAGGCUUUCGGGUCGUAAAGCUCUGUCAAGUGGGAAGAAAUCAUAUGGUGUUAAUACUGCCAUAUGUUGACGGUACCACUGAAGGAAGCACCGGCUAACUCCGUGCCAGCAGCCGCGGUAAUACGGGGGGUGCGAGCGUUAUUCGGAAUUACUGGGCGUAAAGAGCGCGUAGGCGGUCUUUUAAGUCAGGUGUGAAAGCCCGGGGCUCAACCCCGGAAGUGCACUUGAAACUAAGAGACUUGAGUAUGGGAGAGGGAAGUGGAAUUCCUGGUGUAGCGGUGAAAUGCGUAGAUAUCAGGAGGAACAUCGGUGGCGAAGGCGACUUCCUGGACCAAUACUGACGCUGAGGCGCGAAGGCGUGGGGAGCAAACAGGAUUAGAUACCCUGGUAGUCCACGCAGUAAACGGUGAACACUAGGUGUAGCGGGUAUUGACCCCCUGCUGUGCCGCAGCAAACGCAUU
RNAcentral lists this ribosomal RNA (850 nucleotides) under uncultured bacterium. RNAcentral describes it as "bacterial SSU rRNA". It matches the Rfam family "Bacterial small subunit ribosomal RNA", at positions 40 to 861 of the family's 1533-position model. The record is from RNAcentral.